RNAcentral lists this long non-coding RNA (4593 nucleotides) under Sus scrofa (pig). RNAcentral's name for it is "lncRNA (ENSSSCG00030022996.1)". Lineage: Eukaryota; Metazoa; Chordata; Mammalia; Artiodactyla; Suidae. The record is from RNAcentral.
UGUGGCAUAUGAAAGUUCCUGGGCUAGGGUUGAAUUGGAGUUGUAGCUGCCAGUCUACAUCACAGACACAGCAACACAGGAUCUGAGCCUUGUCUGACUAACACCCCACUGAGCCAGGCCAGAGAUCGAACCUACAUCGUCAUAGAUGCUAGUCAGCUUCGUUAACCACUGAGCCACAAUGGGAACUCCAAGAUUUGGAAAUUUUUCAGCCAUAGUUUCUUCAAAUACAUUUUUACCCCACCCAUUUUUUUUUCUUUUGGAAUCUCUCUUAUGCGUAGAUUGGCCUGCUUUAUGUUAUGCCAUAGAUCUUGUAUUGCUUUCAUUUUUUUUAAAUUUAGUUUUCUGUCUGCUGCCUGAUUGAGUGAUUUCCAUUCUUCUUUCAAGUCAUUUUUUUGUUCCCCUGCAUUAUUCAUUCUGCUGUUCAAUGCCUUUAGCUCAACUUUUGUCUCUGCAAAUGAAUUUUCUAUUUUUUCUUGGCUCCUCCUAUUUUUAGUUCCUUUCUAAUCUGCACUACUAUUCAUAUCCACUCCUAAUUCCUUCGAUAUUUUCAUUACCUCCUUUCUGAAUUUUGCGUCUGUUACUCUGCCUAGGUCUGUUCCAUUAUUUUCUCCUUCAGAGGAAUUCUGUCUUGUUCUUUUAACUGGGAAUGGUUCCUAGGCAUCUUCAAUUUGCUUAUAUUUUUCUUACUCUGUUGAGCUCAGGGAAAACAGUCAUCUCCUGUGGCCUUGGAGGGUUAUGUGUGUGUGGGAUCAUCUCUGGGUGGCUUGUGAGGACUAACUCUUUUCUCCCCUUGGUGUGAGUGCUGUUACUCACUUGGAUGCUUGGUGCCUCUUUCCUCAAUGAGUGCAGGCCAUUAUUCCUUUGGUGGGGGUGUGAAGGUGGAAGACCUCCCUGUGCUUCCAGGGAGGUGGGGGCAACUGGCUAUGCAUGCAGGUGGUGUCUGGUCCCUGAGCCCUUGGCAGUGGCAUUGACCCAUAGCUCUUGGCAGUGGCAGCAGGCUACUCCUGGUCAGAGGGCCCUUGGCAGCGUCAGUGACUAUCAGCGAGGAGGGCCAAGCCCAGAGCCCUUGGCAGCAGCAGUGGCGGGGCGUGUCCAUUCACAGGGAGGUGGUGGCAACGGGCAGUGCUCAGUUGAAGGUGCCUGAAUGGUGGCGACCCCUGAGGUAACUGGGGCCACGUGUUGUGUCUGGUCCCGGGACCUCAGUGGUGGUGGGCUGUGUUCACCUCUGGAGCCUGGGAUGGCUUCGUCAGUUUGCAGCUGCCCCUGCAGCUCAUGCAAGAGGCCCUCUGCCGCCUGAGAGCCUGUGCUUGUGGAGGGAAAGAAGUUCCCAUGGCGGUCCCAUCCCCCCUUCUCUUGCACUCCCUAGCCCUGGCCGCACCACCCCCUAGCCCCCUCAGGCUGCUUCCACAAAGCUGGUCCGAGUCCGCUCCCCAGAACUCAUCUCCAUGGCCUGUUUCAGUGCCCAGCCCCCACCUGAGUGUUUGAUGCUGUGGUCUCUUUGGCAGUGGCAUCUGUCAUCUGUGCAGCCCUCUGCUUUGCCCUCCUCAAUCCGGCUGCUGAAAUUUCUCGGAGGCUUUGAGGUCCCCCCUUCAUCUCAGCUGAUCAGUUGACCUCCCAGCGCGUGGAUUCCUUUCCUCUUCCACAGCCCCCUCUCGAGAGUGCUGCUCCCAUCCUGAUUACUUUUAUUCUAUUCUCUCGCUUUUUUUCCUUUUUCUUCUACCCAGUUAGGCUUGUUCUUUUUCUAAGUCUGGGGUCUUCUGUCAGUGUUCAGUAGAUAUUCUGUGUAAAUUGUUCUACAGGUAGAUUUUUUUUUUUUUUUGGUCUUUUUGUCUUUGUUGUUGUUGUUGUUGUUGCUAUUUCUUGGGCCGCUCCCGUGGCAUAUGGAGGUUCCCAGGCUAGGGGUCGAAUCGGAGCUGUAGCCUCUGGUCUACGCCAGAGCCACAGCAACGCGGGAUCCGAGCCGCGUCUGCAACCUACACCACAGCUCACGGCAACGCCGGAUCGUUAACCCACUGAGCAAGGGCAGGGACCGAACCCGCAACCUCAUGGUUCCUAGUCGGAUUCGUUAACCACUGCGCCACGACGGGAACUCCCAGAUUUUUUUUUUUUUAAUGGCUGCACUUGUGGCAUAUUCCCAGGCUAGGGUUGAAUCAGAGCUGCAGCUGCUGGCCUACACCACAGCAAUGUCAGAUCCGAGCCACAUCUGAGACCUAUGCCACAGCUCAUGGCAAUGCCAGAUUCUUCAACACACGGAGCAAGGCCAGGUAUCGAACCUGCGUCCUCUUGGAUACUAGUCUGGUUCAUUACUGCUGAGCCGCAAUGGGAACUCCCUAGAUUACCUUUUUUUUAGCGUGUUGGUGGGAGGUGAUCUCCAUGUCCCACUCUUCCACUGUCUUGAUCUCGCCUCAAUUAUGUUUUUAUUAUUUCUUUACCUACUUUUAUGCUCUAAUUAUUGCAUAUCAAAAAUUAUAAUAAAAAUAUGUUCAUCAAUACUUUACAGGAACUUUUAGUCUUUAGAUAAGGUUUGUUACACAAUUAUUUAUCUUUUGUGUAUUUAAUAUUACUAUUAUUAGCCACGUGCAUGGCUUAUGGAAGUUCCCAGGCUAGGGACUGAAUUAGAGGCACAGCUCUGACUUACAGCAGAGCUGUGACAAUGCUGGAUCCUUAACCCACUGUGCUGGGCUGGGGAUUGACCCUGCGCCUCAGCAGCAACCAGAGCCACCACAGAGACAACCCUGGAUACUUAACCAGCCACACCACGGUGGGGAUGAUGUUUUGUGUAGUUUUGUUUUGUGUUGUUUGCCCCCCAGCAUAUGGACUUAGAUGGAUCCUUUAACCCACUGUGCCAGGUUGGGGAUCAAACCUGCAUCCUGGUGCUGCAGAGGUGCUGCUGAUCCUGUUGAGCCACAGUGGGAACUCCUCUUGUGUGCAUUUUAAUAUUUACCUCUUCCCUUUAUUCUAUGGUAGGUCUCCUGACAGGAGGUUCUCUCAGUGUUUUUUUAUUUGAAAAUGGCUUUCACUUUUCUUCUUGAAGGAUCAUUUUCCUAGGUAUAGAAUUCAUAUUUGGCUACUGUUUUCUUUCAGCACUUUCUAUAGUCUAUUUUUUUUUCAGUUUUCAAUUAUGUUUUAUUUUUAACUAUUUGUAUGCCCUGAUUACUACAUAUCAAAAAUUAUAAAAAUUGUAACAGGAGUUCCCACUGUGGCACUGUGGGUUAAGAACCCAGCUGCAGUGGUUUGGAUCAGCAAGGGUCUGCACCUGGGACUGGCACAGUGGGUUAAAGGAUCCAGCAUUGCAGCAGCUGCCACAUGCUUCAGCUGUGGCUUGGAAUUGAUCCCUGGUCUAGGAACCUCCAUAUGCCUCAGGUGUGGCCAUAAAAAAAGUGUUGGAGUUCCUGCAGUGGCUCAAUAGGAUUGGCCGUGUGUGUCUGAAGCACUAGGAUGCCAGUUCAAUCCCUGGCGCAGUAGGUUGAUGACUUGGCGUUGCUGCAGUCGUGGUGUAGGUCGCAGCUGUGGCUCAGAUCUGAUCCCUGGCCCAGGAACUCCAUGUGCCACGGGGUGGCCGUAAAAGAAAAAAAAAUGUUGAUCAACAUUUUCUAGGCACUUUUAUUCCUUAAAUUUUUUUUGGUCAGAGAAUUAUUUAUCUUUUGUGUAUUUCAUUAUUACUAUCACUGUGAGGUAAUCAGCUGUUCAUGUUUUGGGAGAGGGUCUUUCAGAUAUAAAUACAAGCAUUCAAGCACUUCAGUAAAUACAUGCACAUCUUUUCAAGUUAGUGUUUUCAUCUCCUCCAAAUGAAUACCUAGAAGCAGAAUUGCUGGAUCAUGUUAGCGCUGUUUUUAAUUUUCUGAGGACCCUCCAUGCCAUUUUUUAUACUGGCUGUACCAACAGUACACAAACGUUCCCUUUUUCCAGAUCCCUGCCAACCCUGUUAACAGUUAUUUUUGUCUUUUUGGUAACAGCCAUUCCAGCCAGUGCGAGGUGACACCUCGUUGAGGCUUGGAUUUCUGUUUACCUGAUUAGUGGUGGUGAAUACCAUUUCAUGUACCUGCAGCUGUGUCUUCCUUGGAAAAAUGUCUUAUUCAGAACCCUGUCCAUUUCUAACUGUUUUGGUUUUUUGCUACUGAGUUACAUGAGUUCUUUACAUAUUUUGGAUCUUAAUCCCUUAUGAGACAUGUAGUUUGCAAAUAUUUGUUGAUCAAUAUUUUCUAGGCACUUCAACUCCUUAGAUUAAGUUUUUGUCAGAGAAUUAUUUUUUUGUGUAUUUUAUUAUUUUUUUGGCUGCGCCUGCAGCACAUGGAAGUUCCCAGGCCAGGGAUCAAACUCAAGCCACAGCUGUGACAACACUACAUUCUUUAACCCACUGAGCCAGGCCAGAUAUCGAACCUGGGCCUCAGCAGUGACCUGAGCUGCUGCAGAGGCAAUGCCGGAUCAUUAAUCCACUGCACCACGAUGCUGUCUCUGGUGGCAGUGUGGGUUCAAUCCUCAGCCUGGUACAGUGGGUUAAAGGAGCCAGUGUUGCCAAAGCUGUGGUGCAGGUCACAGCUGUGGCUCAGAGUCAAACCCUGGCCUGAGUACUUCCAUGUGCUGCAGGUGUGG